Homo sapiens (human) is the source of this 1470-nucleotide long non-coding RNA. Ensembl annotates it as long intergenic non-protein coding RNA 1811. The record is from Ensembl. NCBI's taxonomy places the organism in Eukaryota, Metazoa, Chordata, Mammalia, Primates, Hominidae.
GGCUGUGGUUCAAUUCUUUCAAUCAAAGAUCUGCCUAAUCCUGUUUUCCCAUAGCUAAUGUUGACAGGGUUCACCACGCCAUCUUCAUCUCCGCCCCCACUUCUCAUCUUCAGCCCAAACCAAUCUUCAUCUCUAUCUUCAUCUUUACUUCCAUCCACACAGCAAUCUUCAACUCCAUCUACCAAUACCAGUCUUAAGCUCCUGUGCCCCACCAUCCUCAGUCAUAGCAGUGCUCGAUGUGAUAACCUAAUCAAAAAUUUCAAACCAAACUGCCCAGCAUUCAUGGUUGUAAAGGACAUGUAGAAUCAGUCAACUGAUAGAUACAAAGUAACACUGAAACUGAUUGAGCAAUAAUCAGAAAGUUGGCGCUGCAAUAGCUUCCUCAGUUGUACCUCUCUGUCCACCGCCCAGCUCUUUCCUGUUGCUUCCAGUUCCUCUCACUUGUACUUCUUUAUUAACUAUUUGUUAACAUAACUUUCUAUGGUUUUCUUUCACCUAAGACCCAAACCUCUUCUCCUGGCUUGCAUUUCCACGACUCCCUGCCCAAGCCUGAGGUUGCACAAGAAACAUAUCUCUAAUUAAUGUCCCCUGUUCCAGGAAUUUGACUCAUUGGGCCUGCAAAAGAUUUUCGUGACAAAUGAAAUAUUUUUCUAAACCAAGGACUUGGGGAUAACUUCAGGGUCAAAGACAUCUUAUCAUAUUUAAGAACAGCCACAGGAUGUCUAGGAGCCAGCAGAGGGGCCAGAUAUGCUGCAGUUUAUGCUGUAAAAGGAAGCCUGCCGCCGUGAGUGGUCCAGUGGGAGCUCUUGCUUUGUGUCCUCAGCCUUUCACCUUUCCAUCUGAUGACUUGCUCUGAAUCUUCACUUCCUGGGCAGAUGAGGAAACAUGAUGUUCAGAAAGGUAUAUGACUUGAUCAAGAACCCACAACCAGGCAAUGAGAGGAAUAUGAGGCAAAAUCCAAUCUACUUGAUUCCACAGAGCUCUGAGUAUAGAUGAGGCAAACUUCACAUGGAAAAGAAGCCAUAUUUUGAAAAAACUACACGGAAUCAAAGAGAACUAACUCAAAGAAGCAAAAUUUUGGAGAUAAAACAAGCACCAUUCAGAAUCUGGACAUAUAAUAUGUUUAUGGCAUUUAACCUAGUCAGACAGUAGAUAUUGCUCUAAGUCAUGGCCUACACCUGUGAGCCUACUUAUAUCAGCAUUUGCCAAAUGUACUUGUAGCUGUGGUACUGACCUCAGAGAACUUAGCCAAAGAGCAAAGACUGCCUAAUUCAAGAAGUACUGAGAAGAUGUUCCAGGAUUACUUCAUGCUGUCCAGGUCCUAGACAUGGAAUCGUUUGCUUCUUCAAAAGUCUGGAUCCCUUUAAGAUACGAAAUGUAUUUAGAAACCAAAGUAUGGAUGCUAGGUGUGCUCAUGGCCAUUGGAGUGUGUUUCUAGACCCAGGAAUAAGCAAACAAUGGCCUGUAAAC